This 739-nucleotide ribosomal RNA is filed under the name Listeria monocytogenes. RNAcentral's name for it is "bacterial SSU rRNA". It matches the Rfam family "Bacterial small subunit ribosomal RNA", at positions 59 to 779 of the family's 1533-position model. The record is from RNAcentral. Lineage: Bacteria; Bacillati; Bacillota; Bacilli; Caryophanales; Listeriaceae.
AAGUCGAACGAACGGAGGAAGAGCUUGCUCUUCCAAAGUUAGUGGCGGACGGGUGAGUAACACGUGGGCAACCUGCCUGUAAGUUGGGGAUAACUCCGGGAAACCGGGGCUAAUACCGAAUGAUAGAAUGUGGCGCAUGCCACGCUUUUGAAAGAUGGUUUCGGCUAUCGCUUACAGAUGGGCCCGCGGUGCAUUAGCUAGUUGGUAGGGUAAUGGCCUACCAAGGCAACGAUGCAUAGCCGACCUGAGAGGGUGAUCGGCCACACUGGGACUGAGACACGGCCCAGACUCCUACGGGAGGCAGCAGUAGGGAAUCUUCCGCAAUGGACGAAAGUCUGACGGAGCAACGCCGCGUGUAUGAAGAAGGUUUUCGGAUCGUAAAGUACUGUUGUUAGAGAAGAACAAGGAUAAGAGUAACUGCUUGUCCCUUGACGGUAUCUAACCAGAAAGCCACGGCUAACUACGUGCCAGCAGCCGCGGUAAUACGUAGGUGGCAAGCGUUGUCCGGAUUUAUUGGGCGUAAAGCGCGCGCAGGCGGUCUUUUAAGUCUGAUGUGAAAGCCCCCGGCUUAACCGGGGAGGGUCAUUGGAAACUGGAAGACUGGAGUGCAGAAGAGGAGAGUGGAAUUCCACGUGUAGCGGUGAAAUGCGUAGAUAUGUGGAGGAACACCAGUGGCGAAGGCGACUCUCUGGUCUGUAACUGACGCUGAGGCGCGAAAGCGUGGGGAGCAAACAGGAUU